Molecule: ribosomal RNA, 791 nt
Filed under: Fusarium equiseti
Lineage: Eukaryota; Fungi; Ascomycota; Sordariomycetes; Hypocreales; Nectriaceae
Description: eukaryotic LSU rRNA
Rfam family: Eukaryotic large subunit ribosomal RNA
Source: RNAcentral
UGCCCUAGUAACGGCGAGUGAAGCCGGCAACAGCUCAAAAUUUGAAAUCUGGCUCUCGGGCCCGAGUUGUAAUUUGUAGAGGAUGCUUUUGAUGCGGUGCCUUCCGAGUUCCCUGGAACGGGACGCCAUAGAGGGUGAGAGCCCCGUCUGGUUGGAUGCCAAAUCUCUGUAAAGCUCCUUCGACGAGUCGAGUAGUUUGGGAAUGCUGCUCUAAAUGGGAGGUAUAUGUCUUCUAAAGCUAAAUACCGGCCAGAGACCGAUAGCGCACAAGUAGAGUGAUCGAAAGAUGAAAAGCACUUUGAAAAGAGAGUUAAAAAGUACGUGAAAUUGUUGAAAGGGAAGCGUUUAUGACCAGACUUGGGCUUGGUUAAUCAUCUGGGGUUCUCCCCAGUGCACUUUUCCAGUCCAGGCCAGCAUCAGUUUUCGCCGGGGGAUAAAGGCUUCGGGAAUGUGGCUCUCUCCGGGGAGUGUUAUAGCCCGUUGCGUAAUACCCUGGCGGGGACUGAGGUUCGCGCAUCUGCAAGGAUGCUGGCGUAAUGGUCAUCAACGACCCGUCUUGAAACACGGACCAAGGAGUCGUCUUCGUAUGCGAGUGUUCGGGUGUCAAACCCCUACGCGUAAUGAAAGUGAACGCAGGUGAGAGCUUCGGCGCAUCAUCGACCGAUCCUGAUGUUCUCGGAUGGAUUUGAGUAAGAGCAUACGGGGCCGGACCCGAAAGAAGGUGAACUAUGCCUGUGUAGGGUGAAGCCAGAGGAAACUCUGGUGGAGGCUCGCAGCGGUUCUGACGUGCA